RNAcentral lists this ribosomal RNA (253 nucleotides) under uncultured bacterium. Its description in RNAcentral is "partial 16S ribosomal RNA". It matches the Rfam family "Bacterial small subunit ribosomal RNA", at positions 524 to 776 of the family's 1533-position model. The record is from RNAcentral.
UACGUAGGGGGCUAGCGUUGUCCGGAAUCAUUGGGCGUAAAGCGCGUGUAGGCGGUCCGGUAAGUCCGCUGUGAAAGUCGGGGGCUCAACCCUCGGAUGCCGGUGGAUACUGUCGGGCUUGAGUACGGAAGAGGCGAGUGGAAUUCCCGGUGUAGCGGUGAAAUGCGCAGAUAUCGGGAGGAACACCCGUAGCGAAGGCGGCACUCUGGGCCGGAACUGACGCUGAGGAGCGAAAGCGUGGGGAGCAAACAGG